GACGUAGGGCGCGAGCGUUGUCCGGAUUUAUUGGGCGUAAAGAGCUCGUAGGCGGUGUGUCACGUCGGCCGUGAAAACCUGCAGCUUAACUGUGGGCGUGCGGUCGAUACGGGCGUCACUGGAGUUCGGCAGGGGAGACUGGAAUUCCUGGUGUAGCGGUGAAAUGCGCAGAUAUCAGGAGGAACACCGGUGGCGAAGGCGGGUCUCUGGGCCGAUACUGACGCUGAGGAGCGAAAGCGUGGGGAGCAAACAGG
This 254-nucleotide ribosomal RNA is filed under the name uncultured bacterium. Its description in RNAcentral is "partial 16S ribosomal RNA". It matches the Rfam family "Bacterial small subunit ribosomal RNA", at positions 524 to 776 of the family's 1533-position model. The record is from RNAcentral.